Molecule: ribosomal RNA, 253 nt
Filed under: uncultured bacterium
Lineage: Bacteria
Description: partial 16S ribosomal RNA
Rfam family: Bacterial small subunit ribosomal RNA
Source: RNAcentral
UACGUAAAAGGCAAGCGUUGUCCGGAUUUAUUGGGCGUAAAGCGCUCGCAGGUGGUUCGAUGCGUCGUGCGUGAAAGACCCCGGCUCAACUGGGGAGGGUCGUGCGAUACGGUCGAACUGGAGGCCAGUAGGGGGAUGCGGAAUUCCGGGUGUAGUGGUGGAAUGCGUAGAGAUCCGGAGGAACACCAGCGGCGAAGACGGCAUCCUGGACUGGUCCUGACACUCAUGAGCGAAAGCGUGGGGAGCGAUCCGG